AGAGUUUGAUCAUGGCUCAGAUUGAACGCUGGCGGCAGGCCUAACACAUGCAAGUCGAACGGUAACAGGAAUCAGCUUGCUGAUUCGCUGACGAGUGGCGGACGGGUGAGUAAUGUCUGGGAAACUGCCUGAUGGAGGGGGAUAACUACUGGAAACGGUAGCUAAUACCGCAUAAUGUCGCAAGACCAAAGAGGGGGACCUUCGGGCCUCUUGCCAUCGGAUGUGCCCAGAUGGGAUUAGCUUGUUGGUGGGGUAACGGCUCACCAAGGCGACGAUCCCUAGCUGGUCUGAGAGGAUGACCAGCCACACUGGAACUGAGACACGGUCCAGACUCCUACGGGAGGCAGCAGUGGGGAAUAUUGCACAAUGGGCGCAAGCCUGAUGCAGCCAUGCCGCGUGUAUGAAGAAGGCCUUCGGGUUGUAAAGUACUUUCAGCGGGAGGAAGGGAGUAAAGUUAAUACCUUUGCUCAUUGACGUUAUCCGCAGAAGAAGCACCGGCUAACUCCGUGCCAGCAGCCGCGGUAAUACGGAGGGUGCAAGCGUUAAUCGGAAUUACUGGGCGUAAAGCGCACGCAGGCGGUUUGUUAAGUCAGAUGUGAAAUCCCCGGGCUCAACCUGGGAACUGCAUCUGAUACUGGCAAGCUUGAGUCUCGUAGAGGGGGGUAGAAUUCCAGGUGUAGCGGUGAAAUGCGUAGAGAUCUGGAGGAAUACCGGUGGCGAAGGCGGCCCCCUGGACGAAGACUGACGCUCAGGUGCGAAAGCGUGGGGAGCAAACAGGAUUAGAUACCCUGGUAGUCCACGCCGUAAACGAUGUCGACUUGGAGGUUGUGCCCUUGAGGCGUGGCUUCCGGAGCUAACGCGUUAAGUCGACCGCCUGGGGAGUACGGCCGCAAGGUUAAAACUCAAAUGAAUUGACGGGGGCCCGCACAAGCGGUGGAGCAUGUGGUUUAAUUCGAUGCAACGCGAAGAACCUUACCUGGUCUUGACAUCCACGGAAGUUUUCAGAGAUGAGAAUGUGCCUUCGGGAACCGUGAGACAGGUGCUGCAUGGCUGUCGUCAGCUCGUGUUGUGAAAUGUUGGGUUAAGUCCCGCAACGAGCGCAACCCUUAUCCUUUGUUGCCAGCGGUCCGGCCGGGAACUCAAAGGAGACUGCCAGUGAUAAACUGGAGGAAGGUGGGGAUGACGUCAAGUCAUCAUGGCCCUUACGACCAGGGCUACACACGUGCUACAAUGGCGCAUACAAAGAGAAGCGACCUCGCGAGAGCAAGCGGACCUCAUAAAGUGCGUCGUAGUCCGGAUUGGAGUCUGCAACUCGACUCCAUGAAGUCGGAAUCGCUAGUAAUCGUGGAUCAGAAUGCCACGGUGAAUACGUUCCCGGGCCUUGUACACACCGCCCGUCACACCAUGGGAGUGGGUUGCAAAAGAAGUAGGUAGCUUAACCUUCGGGAGGGCGCUUACCACUUUGUGAUUCAUGACUGGGGUGAAGUCGUAACAAGGUAACCGUAGGGGAACCUGCGGUUG
Molecule: ribosomal RNA, 1521 nt
Filed under: Shigella boydii
Lineage: Bacteria; Pseudomonadati; Pseudomonadota; Gammaproteobacteria; Enterobacterales; Enterobacteriaceae
Description: bacterial SSU rRNA
Rfam family: Bacterial small subunit ribosomal RNA
Source: RNAcentral